GGAUAUAAGGGUGAUCUGGCUGCAGUAUUUGUCACGCCAUUGAUUACCAGGGUUUAUUCAGCUGAUCUGGCUGGCUAGGCGGGUAUCCCUUUCCUCCCUCACCACUCCAAUAUGUGUCCCUCCUGAAGCUGUGCCCUGGUCCAGGAGGAUGACCUUCCCCAUGGAGGAGAACUGUUCUUCUGCAGUCAAGAAUAUACAAGAAGCUAUUCCCACCUCCUAGAACCUCCAAACAAGCUCUCAAGGUCCAUUUGUAGGAGAACAUAGGGUAGUCAAGCUUCCAAGACUCCAGAAACAUCCAAAUGAGGCACUGCAUAUGACAGUCUGCUGCUUU
This is an unclassified non-coding RNA of Vulpes vulpes (red fox), 331 nucleotides long. Its record names the gene 7SK. It matches the Rfam family "7SK RNA". From Rfam's summary of the family: 7SK was discovered as an abundant small nuclear RNA in the mid-70s but a possible function has only recently been suggested. NCBI's taxonomy places the organism in Eukaryota, Metazoa, Chordata, Mammalia, Carnivora, Canidae. The record is from Ensembl.